This 10358-nucleotide unclassified non-coding RNA is filed under the name Leishmania donovani. RNAcentral's name for it is "gene:LdHU3.15.0940(CDS-product:hypothetical_prote in_conserved)". Lineage: Eukaryota; Euglenozoa; Kinetoplastea; Trypanosomatida; Trypanosomatidae. The record is from RNAcentral.
AGCCCGCACCGCAGAAACUCCGUGUUGGUACACACGUAUACAAGCACACAAGGGCGAGUGCGCGUAUGGUAUGCGUGCAAGCCGCACCCCGCACCCCAUUCAUCGCCUCUCCCUCGCCCCGUCGAUCCGUCCGCAGAAGCCGCUUCUUGUAGUGGCGCCCACCAACCUUGACAAUGACCCGCACGGCAUCGCUUCUCGUCGCGCGCCUGUAGCAUCUCAGUUGCCCAUUCGGGAAGCUCUCGCCGCGCCUUUCACUGUGCGGUCGUUGUACACGCCCGUUCGCGGACUCCGCCCUGAGUGUCGAACCGUCCGAUGUGCGAGCAGCAGCAGCAGCCAGGAUGUGGGUCAUGUGAACGACUAUGACUUAGCUGCCGAUGUGGUUGAAGUGCGGCCUAUUCGCACCAUGCAAGACCUGCACACCACGCUACUGGGGUUUGCCCGCGCUGCGGCGACGCCGUUCACGUCGCGCCAAGCAUCCUUGCCGCACAAAGUAAGGGCAGCGGCGUGGUCGUCGUCGUCAUCAUCAGCAGCAGCAGCAGAGAUGCACAGAGAGGUCGUACUCCACUCAACACUACUCCGCGACUCCAGCAGCCAGUCUUCCGUUCCAGUUACCACCCCGGAAGGUCGUCAGGCGAACUCGUUUGCCGCGUCUGCGGUGCCGAACGGCGAGCGUCACCUUCUUCACCGCCUCCUCCUGCAUCGCCGCGAAGGGCGACGGCGCGAACGUGACGCUGCCUCACGGAACGCGGCAGAUGGCCCCGGCUUUCCGCCGUCCUCGUCUACACGGGAGGCGAUGUCUGCGUCAACGCCGGCAUCGACGCCAACCUUUACGGGGGCACCAUGGUACCGUGCCUUCCAGCUGUUCAGUGAGGCGGUUCAGCAGCACCACGUGUCGCCAACGGCGCAACACUUCAACCUGCUUCUAUACAUUGCCCAGCAGCACGCACUAUGGGGCCGGGUGGACGACGUGGAAGAAUUUUGGGCGCGUCUGCUGUCUUCUGUGCAGCAGCUGCGACGAGAGAAGAUGCGUGACAAGCGAAGGGCGGAGCAAGCGGAAUGGAAAGGCGGGGAGAGGGUCGGACGACACAGGACGACGCCAGAGUUGGCGCAGCUCACGUCGUCGUCUCUAUCGACACACACACCACCAGCAUCGGCGUCACCGUCAUCCUCCAUCGCCACCCCCACCCCUGCCAUAACGGCAGCCGCUACGACGCGGCAGAUGGACGAGCUGAACGAGAUGGAGCAGGCCCUCAUGCCCAACGCGCAGACAUAUGAGUUGCUGCUCGGGGGCGCGCUGGCACGGGGAAUGUGGGGCCGCGCACUGGAGUACUGUGCACUGCGCACUCGCAGUGGCGUUGCGAUGAUGACCGACGUCUCAGUGCGUCAAGUACUGCAGGCGUACAUUCUUGCAGGGGCAUCUGGCGCCGUCACUCACGCCACCAGGUCCCACACGGAGGCAUCGCCAUCGAGUCCCGCGCCGUAUCGACCGAGGACAGAUGAACGAGGACAGCUCCUUCGCGCGGCGGCGCAACCGCAGCGCAGCAGCAACCACUCCACCGCUCAAGGCGGGUCUGCACAACAGUCUUAUUGGUCCGCCGCGUUACAUUUUUUUCGGAGAAGCUUCCACCGAGUCUCCAGCAUGCAUACGGUGUGGUGCAUGGUAACGCUGCUGCACCGCGCUAACCACCCGGCAGAGCUUGUGCGUGUGGUCAGAGAAGAUUGCGAGCGGUUGGUGCAGAGAUCCCUACGAUCCCUUGCCGCUCAUGCGUUAACCUCCGUCGAGAGAGCGGCACUGUUGCAGACGCUAAAGAUGGUGAGUGACGCGGCUUGCGAGCUCGGCGACUGGCGCACAGCCCUGCAAAUGCUGCGCGAGGCUGUGGAGCUGCGCCAUCAGCUGCUCUCCGAGCGCACUGCAUUGUUGGAACAGCUCUGGGGUGUGCCACACCCGUCAGGCGAGGCGGGCAUGCCGUUUGCCGCUGUCGCGGGCGGAGACGCUGCAAGUGGGGCCCCAGGUGCACCGCUGUCUCACACCACCACUCAGCAUCUUGCAUCACCGGACCUGAUUGGGGCCGGGAGCAGCGACGAGGACGCCCGUCUCGAUGAGGUACAUCUUUCCCAGUAUGUUCUCAAGAACACCCUCCACACACUACGGCGCGUGCGCCGCUACGCGCAGGUGAUCGAUCUGUACAGGGACACCCCGGGCCCACCUGCAGCAGCCGUUGAUGCGGCGGCGGGCGCAGCACGCGAGGAAGAGGAUGACGAUGGCACUGUGGUGUGGCGAAGCAUGUGGACGCCGAGAGCGGUGGGCUACGUGGCGCAGGCAGCGCUGGCGGUGCGAGAUCUGGGCUUACUUCUGGAGCUCUGCGGACUGACACCCCACGGUUUGGAGGUUGCGACGGGCAACGCAGCAGUGAGCUUGAGCACCCCUCCCGAGGUCUACGAUGCCACCCUGCGCCUUAUCCAGUACCACAUUGUCCGCCAGCGCUGUGAGGAGGAGAAGUCGGGCGUGGGCCCGAGCACGGCUGCCACAGCAGCAAAGGGACGCGAUAGGUUGCAGUGGGAUGUCCUCUCGCAGCGCGUGUACGGCGUGUACCGCAAACGUGCCCUUCGCACGCUCGCGGAGGAGACGUCGCCGUACCACGUGUACCUGGAGCGCACGUGCCAUGCGUUGUCGAGUGGGGGUGAAGGUCGUGCAGCCGUCGCGCGCAGCGCGACAGCAGUGGCUGCGGUAGCUGAGUUUGAUGCACCACUUCUCUCCUCCUCGCACAACUCACUCAUACAGCUUCUAGCGCAGUCCCUCCAGAGCGGCGUCGAUUCUUCAACUGUCACCACCUCCCUUCAAGAGGAGGCGCUGAAGCAACUGCAGCGCAUCCGCCGUCCCGACACCCUGGCCAUCGCACUUGUCAUGGACAUUUUACGCAUCGAAGCAUUCCAGCGCCGCUUCUCCGGCGAGGAGGCGCAGUCGCUGCUUGCAGCAGUCCAGCAAGUGUUAGACACCAUUCUAGCGGAGCAGCACAUCGAGUCCAUCCAGCUGCUGUCAAUGUCGCCGCAUGGCUCAGCUACUCACGGCCCCAACGGCAGCGGCAGCGCACAGUCACAGCAGUCAUUGCGCUACCAUCGCUGCCGGUCAGGCUCCGCCUCCCUCGCCGCCUCCAGACCUGGCGCGGCAGAAGUCGGCUCGAAACUCACGCCAGCGCAGCUCGCGUCUCUCUCCACGCUUACUGCCGCUGCCGUUCACAUGAGCUUCGACAUUCUGGAGCGUGUGCAGCCGCUGACCCUGCUGGCGUACAUUCCCGCCUGUGUGGAGCUGGCGUGGUUGCCCAGCGCUGCAGCGCCGGCACAGCUGCAGCUUGCACAACAGGCGGUCGUGCAGUGGGCAGACGAAGAGCUCAAGAGGGGUGCCAUUCUUGCCGCCGAACCUCAGCGCGCCGCCAUGGCCCAGAUGAGGUCUGCUGCUAAUGGCAUUGUCGGCAGUGGUGGCGCUGCUGCUACGCGCAGUGACGCGAUGGACGCCAGCCCAGCCGCGAUUCAAGCAAGUGGGAGAAGCGCCGUGGCGCACUUUGUGCUCACGUACACACAGUUCUUCUCUCGCAAGGCGAUUACAUCUAGUGGGACUCCACCACUCGUCGCGGGGUCGUCCACCGCGGCGGCGGCAGCGAGUGGUCGCGCUGUGCUGGACGCCGCUGCCCAGAUACUGGUGCAGCUUCAGCGAAGCAAGCCGGGUCACCCGCCCACCGCUGCCAUGUCUGCAUUCAUCUCAGCCCUUCGAUACGCGUGGACGGUGAAGACAUCCCCUGCCCAUGGACCGCUGCCUCUCGAGACGACGUUGCUGCACAAUGCGGAGCUGGAGUCGGUGGUAGUGACCUCUCUCAACGCGGUGGUGCAGCAGGUGGGUGCGUCCACGGUGGGUCGCUGGACCAUGUGGGGCGACUGCGUCGACAUGCUCAUGACCUACAUGGACUCACCGCUCGCCACUACGCGGCGACGAGGGACACAAAUGGAGAAGGGGCCAGCGGCGGUGAUGCAGUCUCGCCCUGAUUCGUGGAGACGGGCAGAGGCGACGUACGAGACCUUGCGUGUGCUCCACAUGUUCAUCCGCCUGUGCGACAAGGCCGAAACGGGGUUCGUGGAGCGCGUGACGAUGGACUGGCUACUGCUCGGCGCCGAUAGUACGCGUAGCAGCAGCACCGGAGGCGGUGAAUGUGCUUAUCGUGAAAGCAGCGAUAAGGACGCAUCGCGGCACAGCAUGGUCAUCACGCCGGUGGAACACCUGCGGUGCUUGUGUGAACUUGCUCACAAGCAGCUGCGUCGCGCUCCGCCGGCGCCGCACGAGCCUUUUUCACCGCCAGAGCUGGAGUCGAUGCAGCUGCUGCUGGAUGCACUGACAUGGGCGUGUCGGCGGCAGGCGAAGCCUCUCGUGCGCCGAUUGUACGGGACUCUUGCCCCGUGGCUCGACACACUCCUUCAGGAUGCUGCCCUGCCGCCACCGCCACCGCCAACAAGCCGCGCUCGGUCUGUCGCUGCCGGUGCUGAGUCAGCUGUAGAAAAGGGGGAGCUGCUCCAUCAGCAGCUGAGCCGCCUGCGUGAGACGGCACUCACUGCGUGCAUGACAGUGGCGCAGUGUCUCUCAAGCGGACCUCGUGUGGAGGUGUUGCAGGAUUGGCAGCUGCAGCUUCGCGCACUUCGGCAGCUGACCAAUCAAGGAAACGGCCCAGUCCCACUAUCGGACUUCGGCAGCCAGCGGAAGGCGGCGGCUCUCAUCGAUGGUAUCGCCGCCGUCGCCGUUAAGCUGAAGCGAACAUGGCGCUACCUCCUGACGGAGCUCGCCCUCGACAGUCACCGAGCGGUCUGUGAGGCGCGCCGGCGGCGAAGCGCAUCAUCGUCACUGCAGCCUUUGCAGCUGCCAGAAGCCGUCCUGCGCCACAGGAAAGAUGUUGAAGACGCCGCUGAGUCAUUUGCGGCGUGGUGCAGCGCAGAACUGCUGCCACGGCUGGUCCUCUCGUGCUUGCGUGCAUGUGUCGAGCAUGAGGCGCUUAGAGGUACCGCGCCUACCAUCGCGCCACCACCCGGUGCGACGCCUUCGUCGCCGCGUGCCCUUGUGACGGCGGCAUUGCACAAGGUGGUCGACGCCGUUUGGGAUGUCGACUUCGCUGCCUUUGUGUGGAAAGUUAACUUUUGCGCACGCGAGGGGGUCGAUGACGAUGGCGCGCGCGUGCAGACGCUGGCAAGGCUGCGCACUCGCGGCUAUCGCACCCUCAGCAUGGAACUCUGCUGGCCAAAUCCGGACGGCGCAUCACAGCGGCUGGCACGUCACCUCCAUAUUUGGAUCCUCUUCGCCGUUCACGGCGCCCCGGUGCGGGCGGCGGUGGCAGCGCUUUGCCGCGACCUUGCCACCCUCGACGUCUUUCAAGGCACACGGCGUGCCACGGCAUGUGCGGCCGCUCAGUCAGGUGAAUCAGCGGCCGGCUGCACCGCCACCGCGGCCUCGUCGAUGCCGUUCUUUCUCUUCUUCGCACAGGAGGUCGACACGCUCACCGAGGCGAAAGUUGCCGAGGCGCUUUCCUAUGCCAGCUGUGCCAACUCCGCUGCCACCGCCGCUGCUGCUCCUGCUGCCGGCAUCGAUGGCUCAUCAUCGCAUGUGGCGGAACUAGCGCGGAUGGCAGACGGCCGCACUGCUAUGGAGCACCUCACGAAGCCCCUGGCGCACUACACCCCGUCGGUGCUGCGCGUCGUGCAACAGGCGGCGCAGUGGGUGCUGUACCUCACUCUCUGCGAAGGUACGACGGACGUGCAGGCCGCUGGAGGAGUCGCGGAGGCGGUUCACGCGCAUUCGUCUUUCCUUUUGUCCGUGGUGGCUCAGAAACCUCGAUCUGUGGGCUGCGCUGCCACGGGCCGCGCCGCCCUUCCUUCUGCGCUGCUGCUGCGUCGUUGCCUGGCCUGGACAGGGCAGGCGCCCGCCUACCAUGCUCUCCUGCGUGUGAUUGAGGCGACGGCGCAUGAGACGCUGAGGGAGCCAGAGGCGGUCGUGUACGUCUUUCGCUAUAUGGAGCGACUUGGCCGCGCAGCAGAGGGUGCAGACGCGGCAACGAGAGACGGCGAGACCAUUCUAAGCCCCAGCCCCGUGGAGGCGUUUCUGGCCUUCUACAUGAGCUCUAACACUCUGCGCCGCGCGUCGCCAGUGAGUGAGCGGGUAUGUCUCGCUGCUCUGCUCGCAUGCGCCGCGAACAUGCGCAGAGGCGACGCGGUGGCGUCGCCACCCACCGUUGACCUCCUCACGUUGCUCACCGCCUUCACCCACGUCGUCUCGGACCUCCUUGUCACCGAGUGGCAGCAGGGCCGCCUCUCCCCGCAUCAGUCCGCUGUCUUGACGGAGUGGAUGCUACGAUUUCUCUGGGAAGGGGUACCGGUUUCGCCGAUGGACGCAAGCACCGCCUCUCUGAAGCGCUACGGGGUUGUCACUGCUGCGGCCGCCGAUGGCAACGUCGCCGUCGUCGCCUCCGUAGCAUUACCGCUGCGCAGGGCCUCGAUGCAGUGGCUGCUCGUGACGCGUGGCACCAUUGUGCCCCCGCCGCUACGGGACGAAGGGGCUGAAGCAUCGAAGCUAUCUGCUUGCGCGGCGGAUGAUAGCGCACCACAAACACCACCAUCACAAGCUGCUGCUUCUGCGGAGCGCAUUGCCUCUCUCCUGACAGCGCUGGACCGGGCAAGCCAGCGUUUUGCAGCAUGUUUAGGUGGGGUGGUUGUAUCGCCUAGCGCAGCAGCUGCACUACGCGGCGACUCCUCCAGUAUGUUAUCAAGGGAGAGCCUGGCCAGUGAGCUGCCGCCGCGCCAUCUGUCCAUAAGCUCUCCAUCUGCUGAUGCGAAUCUCGUCCGCACGGUGCUACAGCAGCUUUCCACCCGGCACGCCGCUCAGCAGCUGCUGCACCGCUACCAAAGCUCUCGCGGUGCGCUGCGUUCGCCGGUGCGGGUGCGGGACACGGAGGCGGAGGUGCUGGUGCAAGUGCUACCGGAAGACGCACGCGAUAGCGCCAAAGCGACCCUGCGAGGCGGUGCGGACCCUGCCGCCUCCUACGACAGCGACUCGGCGCGUGAGGCCUCGAGGAAGAUGGCAAGAAACCACGCUCGACGGUCGGUGCGGCUGACCCCUGCAGCGAAUGAGGAAGAGGCAGCGGAGCUGGAGAGCUGGCUAGACGCGGCCGUUGCAAGUCUGACAUCCACGACACCGGGCCUCGCGCCCCCACCGCCUCUGCCAGUGAUAUUGCGGUGUUCAGAGCAGGAAGGAGGUCGCACUUGGAGAACACUUUACAUGCAGCUCCUAUCCGUCACCAAGAACGUGCAUCAAGGCCGCGAGGAGAGGACGCACAGCGCGGCACGCGCGUCAGAAAGCCUGCACAACCUCGACGGCUACGUUCGGCGUCGCGCUGUCAUGCUGCGCCCUGCGUUGCUGCGGUUGAUGUCGAAUCUGGCUGGCACCUCCAGUCGUCUCGAUCCAGCGUCCCCCAGCCCAGAUAAUGGCGUCGGCCCGUGUGUGUGCUCGCUACUUCUUAUGUGCUAUGUUCUACUCCCACUGCGGUCACUACGGCCGCCGCCGUCGCUGGCGGAGGUGUUGGCAGUGGUGCGUCAAGAGUUGUGGAGGCUUCUCGUCACCUGUAGCAGUGCGAGCGGAGCGGGCGAGUGCGCGCCGCACGUAUUUGGAUAUCUUCCCCGCACCCCUUACAACGCGCUCGUACAGCUCUGUGUGCGUCCGUUGAUGCUCGAAGCACUCCCACAACUCCGCCUCCCCACCUUCGCCAGCAGUGAGUCCGGGGCAGCGGCGUUUGAGGCCGUCGCAUUUGGGCUUCUUCUGGUGCACCGCGUGAGCGCAGACGUGGUUGAAAUCCGAGCGCUUUCCUCCACCUUGGCGGAUACGGCGGCGAUAUACGCAUCUCACCGCAGCACGGUUCCAGACGCGAAUGCCGUGAACACGCUGCAGCAGACCGCACGCGAGCUUCUCCACCUCGCUGGUCAGGAGCUUUACCAUCUUCACACCAGCUUCGGCUUAGCGGCAUCUUCGCCAGAGCUACUGCAGAUGCUGUAUAGACGGCUCGUGCGUGCCUGGAUGCAAGCGGGGGUCUUGCUCGGCGACGCGCGCUCGCUACUGUGGUGUGGCCAACGCCUCACCGCUUGGUCGCUGCAGAAGCAGCAGGAAGCGACAGCGUUGGCGUGGAUCGCCGAGGGAUACGGUGCGGUGUCAGCCAGCACCGCGCAGUCCAGUGAAGUGGUCGAAGCUGAUGCUGCUACGGAGUGGCUGUGCGUGCUACCUGUCGCUGUGUUACUUGCGGCGGUCUGCAGUCCCGCCCUCCGCAGCAGCACAAGGAUAAGCGAGGCGCUGUCGUCGCUUGCCUCUGUGCUGCCUCUUCCCCAAAGUAUCCGCGACACCGCUUCCAACAGCCAAUACAGCAGCGUUGUGGUUGCGGCGGACGAGUAUGUCAGCUUGUUUCGCCACUGGCAGCAACUGCUGCAGGGACAUGUGACUGAGGCGGCCAGCAGGUAUCGUGGUUGUCACCAUCAGCACUGGCUUUCGUGUCACAGUCCUUUCGCCGUCAUCCUUCACGGCAGCGUGCCUGCCAAUGCGACUCCGGCACUCAUGGAAGAGGUGCGUCGGCAGGUCGAGGAGUACCUCGCCGGUUCAGCGACCUGGUAUCCGCCGCAGUCGCAGCAGGUCACACCCGUGUCCUCCGACGUGGCGCCAGCUCUCGGAGGCGGCGACAGCAGCAGCAGCAGCAGCAGCAGCAGCCAUGCCACGAUCGCUGCUGCUGACCUUUGUGCAGCCUUUCAAUGUGUAAAGGACGCCAGUGAAAGUGACAUGCGAGCCUUUAUGCGACUCGAGGCGGCGAAGCGCGCUCCUGGCGGCGAGGGCGUUGUCAGGGGGGCGCUGAAGAAGGCGCUGGAAGUGCAAGCGGCGUGGCGCCUCAUUCAUCGUGCAGCGCUGCAGGAGCGUCAGCAGUGCGGCUCAGGGAGCGGUGCUGCCGCCCCGUGGACGCCUUUGGUGCCGCCUGCGGCAUGGCGAGCGUACCUGCUGAAUCUCCCCCCGGUAGUGCCCCACUCCGUGCACUUCGUUCCAAUGGCUGUGACGGAGGUGCUCAUGUUGCAAAGCUGCACUACAUGGACGGAGGGGCUGGCCGUGCUCGAGCAUUCACUAAGGACGCUGCAUCGCUCUGGCGCCACGCCUGUGCAACAAUACAUGGCGCAGCUCUUGCUGGAACGGGUGCGGCGCACGGAGGGGAGCGCUGAAGGGUUCAAGGCAGCUGAUGGAAGAGUGGAGGAGCACCAUUUCUGUGCCGAGCUGGAGACAUACACGUACACUGUGCUGCAGCAGCAGCCCACCGAAGAAGAAACGAGCGGAGGAAAGCAGGUGGCGUUUCCACGUUGGCGUCUGUGGUCGCAGCACAUGGCACAGCGUUCGACACACGGCACGGCGGCGCUGGUGUGCCGCAUCGUUGAUCUCAUGUUUAUUCAUCACAUGCGGACCACUCGCGCCUCGGCGCGCGACACCAUCACUUUCUCGCCUUCUGUGUUGGCGAAGCACACCCUCAUGGAGGCCCUGCGCUGCGGCGUUCACGACCCUGCUUUGACCCGCGUUCUUUUCCGUCUUUUCUGGGCUGAGCAGCACCGCCGCGUCGAGGGCGCGCACGUGUUCUUGUCCGCGCUGCGGGCCGCCAAGCUGGCGCGGAGCGACGCACUCGCGCUGGAAGCGAUGCUAACGUAUUUACGGGUUUCCGACGCAAACGCGGCCACCACGCAGCGGACGGCAGAGUGGAGCUCGCGUGUUCUGCAGGUCAUCAACGCCUGUGAAGCGCGUUCCACCAUCCCAGGCUCACGCGUACCUUCCUCGGGCUUCUCCUCUGUCUCUGCGUGGCAGCACCUUAAGGCGGCCGUUGAGGAGGCGGCAGAGCUUCAGGGACCGACGCACCGCUUCUCUGUCGAGGCGCACCGUGCGACAUGGAAAUCGUGGACAGUGCUGUGUCGCCUGCAGGUAGUGCCCAAGGACGUAGCACUCUGCGUCGUCCAUCUCUUCAAGCAGUACGACCGCCUCACCGAGGUGGAGGAGCUCAUGGUGGUCACCUGCUAUGACAUGACGAUGGUGCAAGCGGAUAGGCGUGUCGGUGGUGGUGAUGCUGAAGAGUAGGAGCGCGACAGAGGCAGUUAGCGAGAGAGAGAGAGAGACACACAUAUGACGGAUGUGUGUCACGAUGACCAACCAGCACGCUGAGAUGUGAUAUGCGCGUGCGUUACGCGACGGUGGUGCGGGAUUCGGUAGACGUGUGUAUGCGCGGUUACGCCUGAUUUCGUUGUUGUUCGAGUAGACAGCACUUUGC